CUAUAUCACAAAUUGUUGUCUCUCGCUGAACUUACAACAUCCACUAAAAGACAUCGUUAGUAUGAAUGCUACUGCCCGGCUAAUGAAACAAACCAAACUAACAAAAAACAAAAACAAGAGAAAUUAUUCUGCUCCUUGUUUAUAGCCAAUGUUCUCUCUCUUUCUGCUUUCAUAUUAUAGUGGAAAUACAAGGGCAGGUCUGAAUGUGUCCCACAAGAAAAAAAGACAAACUCACUCAACCCCCAUUUUGCACAUUUUUGGAAAACCUGUCUUUGAUUGCUAGAUCGUGGUUGUCAGUAACUGUAGAUUGUUGAUGGGGAGGUAAACAUUGCAUUUCUAGGGUUUUGGUGAUUGCUUAUAAUUUCAUUUCUACAAAACCAGAAAUGUCAAAACAUGAAAAGUGUCCUUGGGUACCUUUCUCCUACAGCUGUGCUCUGGAGGAGUUCUGUGGACAAUUGCCCAGAACUGGACGGCCUCCACCUUGCCUCUAAUUCUCUCCCAAUGAUGGUGCUCAAAGGUGUCCAAAGCUCUAGGAAAACAAGGGUUCAUUUGGCUUUCAUGCUGCUGGUUUACCUGAUCUCCCCAGCACACACAAGGUUGAAUGUGCAUGUGUAGAUGUAAACCUGGAAUUACCGUAAUGACGCGAAGAGGACUGAGAGCUGGUUCCUCUGAGCUGGCUGUUUGCUCUGCCCUAACCCAGGAGACCUGGGUAAUAUUUAACUACCAAGUAUACCUAUGUAUAGAAUGAAAACUCUUUAGGGUCUUGGAAGAUGCUUCCUGAGAUACUGAGAACCAGGUCUCUAAACAGAGGUUCAGAGACAGGCUUUUUCAGAGAAGAUACUGAAGCCACACAGGAUUAAACCUUUCUCUUGGCCACUUCAAAGUGUCUGGAGGUCUGCAGGCCUGAGUGGGGACCAAGGGGACCAGGAGCUGGGCAGUGAGGGCUUCUUUUUUCCCUUCUGACUUGGCUUCAGAAAGAAUUGUAACCUCUACCUUUACAGGUGUGCACAAAGCAAGUGCCCACCUCUAGCCAGGGCAGUCAGAAGUUGUAGCUAGUUCAUUACUAUUCACCACCCUUCAGUAUUAACUGGAAUGUUGAUUUCUGCUCUUUGGUAUCACUGCUUCCUGACAAGAAUGCUGAAGCAAAGGCCUGAGUGCAGUAAACCCUGGAAGUGUGCACUGUAUCAUACUUACAUCCAAUACAACAGUAAAGCUCAGAUAUCUCUGCACACAUCCACAUGGUUCAUUGGUUUCAUACUGACAUCAAAAAGGAGAACCUUUUGGAAAUAUUUGACAACAACAACAUCAACAGAAAAGUCAACCCACUUAUAGUCUAUAAUCGAGUACUAGAUGGGGGUAAAGAGAAAACCUUUCAGAUCCAUGGUAGCAUAAAGUACCUGGUCAUUAACCUUACUGAAUGAAUCACUUUCUAAUGAUUACAAUGCCACAUAAACAGAAAAUUAGCUGUUGAAAAAUCUUGACAUGGCUAAAUACUUAGAUUUUGUUAGUUGUGUUCUGAAAGCUGGGGAUUUUCACGUACAUGGGUCUGCAUGUUGGAAAGACAGAAGAGAGGACAGGGGACUGAAAAGGAAGGAACGGGAGAGGACAGAAACUGUACCUGGUGACAGUGUGUGGGAUUCUGUAGGUGGUUGUGACAGCUGAGAGGUGCUGGUUGUAGCUGAUUCAAAGUGUUGGGGUGGGGUGGAUGAGUGUGUGGUGUGUAUACAUUGUAUUGAGGGGGUGAUGCCAGUGGAAAGGGCCUGGGAGAUGGCUGGGAGGUGGUGUGUGUACCAUGUGUGAGCUUUGGACCGGUAACACAAUGGGAACCUAAUUAUCUGGCUGAAACAUGCUCAAAUGGCAAAAAGUUGCAAAAUAGAUCGACCUCCCUGAGAAGAGAGGGAGCUGGUUACAGAGGUCUGCAGCCAUCAUCCUUUUUUCAAUACAUUUUAAACAAGAGGAUCUAGCGAGUGAUUCUGAUUCAAUACACAUAAUCAGUUUGCAAGUCUUAUUUCCAUUUGAAAACAGGGCCAUUUGCAAUCAUAAGAGCCGGACACGCUGAAAGAUACAGAGCGCAUUCCGAGCAGAUGAUGGGUGACAGAAUCUGUAGGCAAGCACUAAAUAUUUUCUUCUAGCCUCAGACCUUGUGUGUCUUUAGUCCCAACGUAUUUUAAAUGGAAUAUUCCUGUUGAAUAUAUAACUUAAUUGCUUAGAAAAUCG
RNAcentral lists this long non-coding RNA (2217 nucleotides) under Marmota monax (woodchuck). Lineage: Eukaryota; Metazoa; Chordata; Mammalia; Rodentia; Sciuridae. The record is from RNAcentral.